UACGUAGGUGGCAAGCGUUAUCCGGAUUUACUGGGUGUAAAGGGCGUGUAGGCGGUUUUGUAAGUCAGAUGUGAUAUCUCCGGGCUUAACUCGGAAACUGCAUCUGAAGCUAUAAAACUUGAGUACUGGAGAGGAUAGUGGAAUUCCUAGUGUAGCGGUAAAAUGCGUAGAUAUUAGGAGGAACACCAGUGGCGAAGGCGACUAUCUGGACAGUAACCGACGCUGAGGCGCGAAAGCGUGGGGAGCAAACAGGAUUAGAUACCCUGGUAGU
RNAcentral lists this ribosomal RNA (271 nucleotides) under uncultured prokaryote. RNAcentral describes it as "partial 16S ribosomal RNA". It matches the Rfam family "Bacterial small subunit ribosomal RNA", at positions 524 to 794 of the family's 1533-position model. The record is from RNAcentral.